AAAUAGAAAAGAAGAGAAGCCUUACAUUCCAAACCCUAGAAACCUGAAAACCUACUAGUUCCUCUCUCUUCGCACGCCAGAACGAUGUCGCACUUUGGAAGAUCUGGGCCGCCGGACAUCAGAGACACCUACUCCCUCCUCGUCCUCAACAUUACUUUCCGUACGACGGCAGACGACCUCUUUCCCCUCUUUGAUAAGUAUGGAAAAGUGGUUGAUGUGUUUAUCCCCAGAGACCGGAGGACUGGAGAUUCCAGGGGCUUUGCUUUUGUAAGGUACAAGUAUCAAGAUGAGGCUCAAAAGGCUGUUGAAAAGCUAGAUGGAAGAGUUGUUGAUGGGAGAGAAAUAAUGGUACAAUUCGCAAAAUAUGGCCCCAAUGCUGAACGAAUUCACAAAGGGAGAAUUGAAGAACCUGUUUACCGGGCCAGAGGAAGGUCAAGAAGCCGCAGUCCUCGACCAAGGGACAGGGAUCACAGGAGGAGAAGCCGCAGUAGAAGCAGAGGUAGAUAUGAACGUGAACGUCAUCGUGGUAGGGACAGGGAUUCUCGUAACCGGAGCAGGAGCAGGUCUCGAAGCCGCAGCCGCAGUGGGAGUCCUGGUUAUCGCAGAGAACGUGGUAGAGGCAAAUAUGAUGAUGAGCGGCGGAGACGAAGCCGGUCUUAUGGAAGUGCUUCUCCUGCUCGACGAAGUCCUAGUCCUCGGAGAAGCCCAACUCCAAACAAAUCACCUCCUUCCAGGGGUGAAAGUCCAGAUGUUCGUAAUCACAAAGAUCGGUCACCUACCCCUAAGAGUGUCUCUCCUCGCGGCCGUCGCGAUUCUCGGAGUCCAUCUCCACGUUCUGAGGCUGAAGAAUGAAGGAUGGUACCGCUGCUGGAUGGAUUUUGCUACCAUGCUGUUUGUGGCAGCAUAUGCCUUCUCGAUUUGUGUUCGUGAGGAGUAGUUGUUGCUGAUUGACAAGAUGAUGCAGCAGCUAUUGAUGCUGUUUUUAGAAUGAUGCAGUAGCUGCUGAUGCUGCUUUUAUUUAGCUGUUGAUUGUUAUAAUUGCUUGCUGGUGACGAUCUGAGGUUUCUUUACAAAUUUCCGACCUGGCAUUAUCGGUAAGGAAAAGACUAGCAUGUUAUUCUUGAAUCACAUUGAAAUUCUGAUAUCACCUGAAAGUCCUAAUCUCUCCUUACUGUGAUUUUGGGAAAUAAAUCUGAUUUUCACGAGCGAUCACUUGAGGUUGCUGGUGUCCAUAUAAAGUGUAGCUGGUGCUGUUGAUGAAUAGAUUUUCUGUUUGCUGAUAAUGUUUUGAGGCCACAUCUGAGAUGUUUGCCACUGUAACUGUGAGCUUGGGGGUGCACAUGAGAUCGUGUCUGUAGCUGUGACGCAAUAGCCGAUAUUCUUGUAGAUUGGUUGUUGCUGUACUUGCUGAUAGCUAUAGAACUGAUGCUGCCACUUUUGAUGAAUGGUUUUGGUAGCUGUGUUGCAGUUGGAUGCAUGGACGUGCUUUAUUGAUUUACGUACAAGUAUCUCGUUGAUGUCCAACUGAAGUCUGGAUCUCCUUUUCCACUAACCCCUAGUGUCCCUUCCAACCCAAUUUGUUCCCUUGCACUCCUUACAUUUUCGUGUGUUUCCAUUUUGUUCCAUGGUAAGUUGUGCUAGUUGAUGCCAUGUCUGCUUUAUUUGACUUCUGUAUGAUGAUGAUGAUGACGAUGACGAAUCUCUUAUUUCCCAACUUAUGAUGACCCAUGAUGCUUUUACUGCUAA
Molecule: RNA transcript, 1746 nt
Organism: Sesamum indicum (sesame)
Lineage: Eukaryota; Viridiplantae; Streptophyta; Magnoliopsida; Lamiales; Pedaliaceae
Gene: SC35
Gene name: serine/arginine-rich splicing factor-like protein, putative
Source: RefSeq, a predicted model, not a curated record